AAGAGACAGCUUAGAGGAAGUAAAAGUCGUAACAAGGUUUCCGUAGGUGAACCUGCGGAAGGAUCAUUACAAUAAUGGACUCUGUCCAGUACACUCUCGUGUACCCUCUGUGAACCAUCUGGUUUCUUUGGCGAUGUCUCACGACUCGUCAAACUAAAACUCUGAUAAUCUGAUACUGUCUGAGUUUUAUGAAAUACAUAAAAACUUUCAACAACGGAUCUCUUGGUUCCA
Molecule: unclassified non-coding RNA, 231 nt
Filed under: fungal sp.
Lineage: Eukaryota; Fungi
Description: partial internal transcribed spacer region
Rfam family: Eukaryotic small subunit ribosomal RNA (bases 1-69)
Source: RNAcentral